UCCUCCUCUUUUUUCCUCCUCCCCUUCUUCUUCCUCCUCUUCUCCUCCUUCUCCUCCUCUUUCUCAUCUCUUUCAGGUCCCAGGGCUUUCUGAACCAGACAAAAGACUGGGCCGCAGAGUCCGAGGGGUUUGAGGAGGGUUGAUCUGAGGGGAGGGGAGCCACUUUGGGCUCUCCGAUAGGCCCCACCUGAAGCCUCUUUACUCACCCAGAAGCCAGAGGUGUGCAUUAGGUUAUGCACUGAACUUAAUCAGGUUACUCCCCUAAGGUCAUGCUGCCAGAGAAAACUACUGUGUGGAAAUCCAUAAGAAGGUGUCACCAGGGAAGGCCCUUGUCCACCCCCAACAUACACCACACACACACACACACACACUCUCUCACUGCUUGCUCACCAGCUCCAGAGCUGCCAGGCUUCCUUCCUGGAUUGCUGGGCACAUGGGCGCCACUUCUGAGCUUCAGGACUCAAGGGAAGAAGCCAAGCUGGAGGAAGGCCGGAAGCCGACAGGAGAGACAUCAGACGUAACGGCACCAUGGGCUGUGCCGGAGCAGCAGAAGGGGUCACGGUUGCGGUGGGACCAAAACAGGACCAGUGACUGCUCCAAGCGGGAAGUGGGAGGCACCUCGGUGGAUCCCACGGCCAGUGGUGGCUGGACAGGCAGACAGGUCCUCCAGGAUGGGGGUGAUUCCACAGCUCUUCGGCAAUCACGGACUCCACAGACCAACCCCUGCCAAUGAAGAAUGGGCCUUCCGAGAACACCAGGGCAGCCCCACUGCCUGAUUGGGGUCUUCUCCUCUGCCCACACCCCUCCACCAAGAACCAAGAAAAUCACGGGUUCUAUGAUGGAUGAAGUAACCUGACCAGGCUCUCUGUUCUCCCCUGCUAUUAAAACGAGAUGCCAGAU
This is a long non-coding RNA of Ornithorhynchus anatinus (platypus), 900 nucleotides long. RefSeq lists it as uncharacterized. The record is from RefSeq and is a predicted model, not a curated record. The transcript is spliced from 2 exons. NCBI's taxonomy places the organism in Eukaryota, Metazoa, Chordata, Mammalia, Monotremata, Ornithorhynchidae.